GCAGUCGAGCGGUAGAGAGGUGCUUGCACCUCUUGAGAGCGGCGGACGGGUGAGUAAAGCCUAGGAAUCUGCCUGGUAGUGGGGGAUAACGCUCGGAAACGGACGCUAAUACCGCAUACGUCCUACGGGAGAAAGCAGGGGACCUUCGGGCCUUGCGCUAUCAGAUGAGCCUAGGUCGGAUUAGCUAGUUGGUGAGGUAAUGGCUCACCAAGGCGACGAUCCGUAACUGGUCUGAGAGGAUGAUCAGUCACACUGGAACUGAGACACGGUCCAGACUCCUACGGGAGGCAGCAGUGGGGAAUAUUGGACAAUGGGCGAAAGCCUGAUCCAGCCAUGCCGCGUGUGUGAAGAAGGUCUUCGGAUUGUAAAGCACUUUAAGUUGGGAGGAAGGGCAUUAACCUAAUACGUUAGUGUUUUGACGUUACCGACAGAAUAAGCACCGGCUAACUCUGUGCCAGCAGCCGCGGUAAUACAGAGGGUGCAAGCGUUAAUCGGAAUUACUGGGCGUAAAGCGCGCGUAGGUGGUUCGUUAAGUUGGAUGUGAAAUCCCCGGGCUCGACCUGGGAACUGCAUUCAAAACUGUCGAGCUAGAGUAUGGUAGAGGGUGGUGGAAUUUCCUGUGUAGCGGUGAAAUGCGUAGAUAUAGGAAGGAACACCAGUGGCGAAGGCGACCACCUGGACUGAUACUGACACUGAGGUGCGAAAGCGUGGGGAGCAAACAGGAUUAGAUA
This 731-nucleotide ribosomal RNA is filed under the name uncultured bacterium. RNAcentral's name for it is "bacterial SSU rRNA". It matches the Rfam family "Bacterial small subunit ribosomal RNA", at positions 57 to 784 of the family's 1533-position model. The record is from RNAcentral.